This 203-nucleotide long non-coding RNA is filed under the name Lathyrus oleraceus (garden pea). RNAcentral describes it as "Pisum sativum (pea) long non-coding RNA (PSAT_LNC001122)". The record is from RNAcentral. Lineage: Eukaryota; Viridiplantae; Streptophyta; Magnoliopsida; Fabales; Fabaceae.
UUACACAUUACAAGUAAUUGGAUGACUUUAAUCUUCAAUCGCUCCCGCUCAUGAAAAUCUUCAGUUAUCCAAACUCCUUGUUCUCUGUAAUACUUGAUUGCUUCACAAUAUUGUAUUUUGCCUUGUUCCAAGAUCCUCUUUUCUCUUGUUGAAACUCUCCUAAUAUAGUGAAAAUCCCUUGGCAAAAGGUGGAAAUCUCCAAA